AGGACGAACGCUGGCGGCGUGCUUAACACAUGCAAGUCGAGCGGAAAGGCCCUUUCGGGGGUACUCGAGCGGCGAACGGGUGAGUAACACGUGAGUAACCUGCCCUUGGCUUUGGGAUAACCCUCGGAAACGGGGGCUAAUACCGAAUAUUCACUGCUCCUCGCAGUGGGGGGUGGUGGAAAGUAUUUUUUGGCUGGGGAUGGGCUCGCGGCCUAUCAGCUUGUUGGUGGGGUGAUGGCCUACCAAGGCGACGACGGGUA
This 260-nucleotide ribosomal RNA is filed under the name uncultured bacterium. RNAcentral's name for it is "partial small subunit ribosomal RNA". It matches the Rfam family "Bacterial small subunit ribosomal RNA", at positions 26 to 285 of the family's 1533-position model. The record is from RNAcentral.